CAGUCGCCACGGUAAUACGUAGGUGGCAAGCGCUGUCCGGAAUUAUUGGGCGUAAAGGGCUCGCAGGCGGUUUCUUAAGUCUGAUGUGAAAGCCCCCGGCUCAACCGGGGAGGGUCAUUGGAAACUGGGAAACUUGAGCGCAGAAGAGGAGAGUGGAAUUCCACGUGUAGCGGUGAAAUGCGUAGAGAUGUGGAGGAACACCAGUGGCGAAGGCGACUCUCUGGUCUGUAACUGACGCUGAGGAGCGAAAGCGUGGGGAGCGAACAGGAUUAGAUACCCCCGUAGUCCCUGUCUCUUAUAC
This 301-nucleotide ribosomal RNA is filed under the name uncultured bacterium. RNAcentral describes it as "partial 16S ribosomal RNA". It matches the Rfam family "Bacterial small subunit ribosomal RNA", at positions 509 to 807 of the family's 1533-position model. The record is from RNAcentral.